This 482-nucleotide ribosomal RNA is filed under the name uncultured bacterium. Its description in RNAcentral is "partial 16S ribosomal RNA". It matches the Rfam family "Bacterial small subunit ribosomal RNA", at positions 30 to 507 of the family's 1533-position model. The record is from RNAcentral.
AUUGAACGCUGGCGGCAUGCUUUACACAUGCAAGUCGAACGGUAACAGGCCGCAAGGUGCUGACGAGUGGCGAACGGGUGAGUAAUGCAUCGGAACGUGCCCAGUCGUGGGGGAUAACUACUCGAAAGAGUAGCUAAUACCGCAUACGAUCUAUGGAUGAAAGCGGGGGACCGUAAGGGCUCGCGCGAUUGGAGCGGCCGAUGUCAGAGUAGGUAGUUGGUGGGGUAAAGGCUCACCAAGCCCACGAUCUGUAGCUGUUCUGAGAGGACGACCAGCCACACUGGGACUGAGACACGGCCCAGACUCCUACGGGAGGCAGCAGUGGGGAAUUUUGGACAAUGGGCGCAAGCCUGAUCCAGCAAUGCCGCGUGCAGGAAGAAGGCCUUCGGGUUGUAAACUGCUUUUGUACGGAACGAAACGGCUCUGGUUAAUACCCGGGGCUAAUGACGGUACCGGAAGAAUAAGCACCGGCUAACUACGUG